Molecule: long non-coding RNA, 3306 nt
Filed under: Nicotiana benthamiana
Lineage: Eukaryota; Viridiplantae; Streptophyta; Magnoliopsida; Solanales; Solanaceae
Description: long non-coding RNA (NBEN_LNC017748)
Source: RNAcentral
UUUGUUUUGUUCGGCAAGACUUGUCUCAUUUUUAUUUUUUUAAGCAAAUCCUAAAGAGACUAUGAUUUUCUAUAUUCUUUGUCUGUAAUAAAAUCAAAAUCCAUAUUAAUGGACUGACGAGUGGUUUAUUAGCAAAAGUAACAAAUGGCCCUCAAUAUCAUCUCCUAGGAAAAAAAACUAUUUGGGCCCAAUGCAGGCACAAGGCAAGCCCAGACGGACGCCAGUGCCUCAACUCAACAUCGAACCCCCACAAAGGAGACACAAAUAUGCAAUUACGGGAAAUAUUCUAGGCAGCUAUGCCAUAUCGAGCUCAUAUAACUUAUAACAAGCCAUAAUCCUAAAUUAAUUGGGCAAUUUGAUGGUACUGCACCCUUAAACAAUUUACUAAUCAAUGCAAUGACUAAUCUUUGAUUUUAAAAACAUACUGCAAAAUAGGAAAUUAAAUUACGAAAUGGCUAAAAGUCCCAACAGUCAAAUUAAUAGUGCAUAUUAAGAUCAACUAACCAUUGGCCUACAAUUAUUAGCUUCAUUUCGAAAAGAAAAAUAAAUGCUAAACCAAACUGAUAUCGACUAUAUGAGAAGCUAUUGCUAGAUGAUCAACAGUUUGCACAACUCAAUAGGCCGAGUGAGUACACAUAGAGAUAUGCUAGAACUCUGCAUUAUAAUAUCAACACAAGCUAAGCCAAACUAAAUUGCUACACACAUGGAUUACAUCUAAUUAAUCUAACAUUAUACUACUUAACAAUCCAGUCCAGAAUUAUUACAGAGUUUAAUCACAAUAAACAAGCAAAUGUGGCAGGGCCAUUAAAAUCACAAAGCCACAGUGCCAAAUUAUCCUUAAUUUCAUUUCAUAUCUCAACAGAUGAAGCUACAUCAAUGGAGUCUCGAGAUGUGUACCUGAAUGUCGAAAUACAAGAAGAAUAAGAAGAAGAUCAGCUAUAAUAGCAGAUUCCAGCAGAAUAAUUUGCUAACAGCAGGAAACACAGCAAGUUCAACCCAGAAACGAGUUCAACAAUCGAAGGAUAAUUCCAAACCAAACAGAAGCCAACAAAACAGUCGCAAUUAGCUUGAACAAAACCCAAGUGACUUCGAAUUCAAACCCAGAAAUACCUCUGAAACCUCAUCAACUAAAACAAACCAAAAUAGCUUGAAUACAUUCAAAAAACAGCUUGAAAUUGAACUCAAGAUCAGCUAUAAUAGCAGAUUCCAGCGGAAUAAUUUGCUAACAGCAGGAAACACAGCAAGUUCAACCCAGAAACGAGUUCAACAAUCGAAGGAUAAUUCCAAACCAAACAGAAGCCAACAAAACAGUCGCAAUUAGCUUGAACAAAACCCAAGUGACUUCGAAUUCAAACCCAGAAAUACCUCUGAAACCUCAUCAACUAAAACAAACCAAAAUAGCUUGAAUACAUUCAAAAAACAGCUUGAAAUUGAACUCAAGGUCACCAAGAACUCAGAUUUUUAACUGACAGUGCAGAAAUUCCAAUGUAAUAGUGUAUUUUUGUAGUUUUUUUGUAUUGUUUCUAUUUUUUUUGGUUUCUGAAGAUUUGGAGUUUUGAAAUUCAAAUUUCAGCUGGGAAGACUUAGAGAAUACUCUAGAGGAAUUUUCAGAUCUGUGUGCUUGAAGGGAGUUUUGGGGAGGGAAUUUUGGGCUCCCAAAACUUGUUCAUUAAGGCAUUGGUGUUGCCCUUUUAUAGGCAAAGAUGAGGGCAACCCUCAAUUUUCUGUUUACAAAUCAGUCCCUUAUUUAUUUUCACAAUAGUCCUCUACUUAAUGACCUGCUUCUCAAGUAAGUGCACCUAUUUUCUGAAUUUAGAGUAAAAGUUAUAUUCUAGAAGGUUCUAGUGAAUUCCAAUCAGUUUUAAAAGAUUCCCUUAUCCCUGAAUUGCCCCACUUACUCCUACUUUAUUCAAAGAUUUACUAAACUAAUCCAAAUGAAUUCAGCCUCCUUUUACCCAAGUUAAGCCUAUCCACUGUAGCCAACUUCAUCAGAUUAACAACUAAGUGAACUGAGCAUUACCGAAUGUCCAAACUAACUAAACCGAAUGAUCUACAACCAAUUGAUAACAACCAAAAGGGGUACUAAGAUCAGAUUUAAGUUUAAAUAAAUUCAAACAAGAUUGACUAAAGCAGAACAAACAAGAAAAAUAAUCUAGUAUUCAAACUAUUAGAUUCCCAAAUCUACAAACGACUCUAACCUACGAAUUGCAUCAGAACAGAAUCACAACAAGAGACAUUUGAUAAAAGAAGGACUAAGCAGAGGCAGAAAUACUAAUCGUUUUAUUAAACCAUACUAUUCAAACUACACGACUGAACAUGCAACAAUUAAAAUCUAAAAAUCUAUAUUGACCCAAACAGCCCCAGAUGAACACAGACUAAUCCUCAAUGAAUGAUUCUAAAAUCAAUAUGAAAUCUUAAUUCAAACUUACGCAUGAAGGAGGAGAAGGAAAUGAACAGAACGAAGAAUUCACCAAUAAAAUCGACCUCACAUCUUCAAGCUCGGACACGGCAUGAGCAACUACUCGACUUAGGGUCCUCCUGACCCUAGAUUUAAGGCCCGUGGGAUUCUGCAUGGAUUUGAGGGAUUCCAAUCUUUAAAUUCGUCACGAGGAUGUCUGAGAGGGCUCAUAGUGUGAAUUUUGAACCCUUUUGAAAACUUAAAGCUUUGCAGCAGUUUGAACGGAUUUUCGAUCCGAUAUUUGAGACGUUUGGUACUGAUUGGAAGCAUAUUAAGGAUGGAUUUGGGGAGAGGCGAAUGAGGGGGUAUUGUGGUGUAAAUUUGGGGCCGUUUGGGCUAUAUCGCCGCCGUGGGCGGCGGAGACGAGGACAACAAAUUCGACCAUUUGAAGGUCUGUGGUGGGAUUCAAAGGGAGGUAAUGGCAGAUUCGUGAAGAGGAUGUCAAAGCGGUAUAGGGGUGUGAUUUUGGGGUCAACCGCGACGGUGGUGUCUUCGCCGGCGGCGGAACAUGGUGGCGGCUAGAAACAGAGAAAGGGGUACAAUGAAGAAGACUUGGUCGUUUAGGGUUAAUAGGGAAUUCGGACAUUUUUAUGAAAGAUGGGGGAAGAAUUCUGAGCCGUUAGAUUAGUAAGAUUUAACGGCUCAGAUGGACGGGUAGCAAAACAGUGUCGUUUUAUUUUGAGAGUGGACUGGACCUGGUGAGGAGUGUUGGGCCUGGGCGUGUGUGUAUUGAUAUGGGCACUAAUGUCUUGGGCCGUCAGAAUUGAAUAGGCAAUGACCCAACUCGUGGGUCUUUUAACGAGGCAACCUUUUCCCUUUUAUUUUAUCUCUUUUCUUCUUUCUUUUUG